RNAcentral lists this ribosomal RNA (837 nucleotides) under uncultured bacterium. Its description in RNAcentral is "bacterial SSU rRNA". It matches the Rfam family "Bacterial small subunit ribosomal RNA", at positions 51 to 878 of the family's 1533-position model. The record is from RNAcentral.
ACACAUGCAAGUCGAGGGGAAACGACAUCGAAAGCUUGCUUUUGAUGGGCGUCGACUGGCGCACGGGUGAGUAACGCGUAUCCAACCUGCCCACCACUUGGGGAUAACCUUGCGAAAGUAAGACUAAUACCCAAUGACGUCUCUAGAAGACAUCUGAAAGAGAUUAAAGAUUUAUCGGUGAUGGAUGGGGAUGCGUCUGAUUAGCUUGUUGGCGGGGUAACGGCCCACCAAGGCGACGAUCAGUAGGGGUUCUGAGAGGAAGGUCCCCCACAUUGGAACUGAGACACGGUCCAAACUCCUACGGGAGGCAGCAGUGAGGAAUAUUGGUCAAUGGGCGAGAGCCUGAACCAGCCAAGUAGCGUGCAGGAUGACGGCCCUAUGGGUUGUAAACUGCUUUUAUAAGGGAAUAAAGUGAGUCUCGUGAGACUUUUUGCAUGUACCUUAUGAAUAAGGACCGGCUAAUUCCGUGCCAGCAGCCGCGGUAAUACGGAAGGUCCGGGCGUUAUCCGGAUUUAUUGGGUUUAAAGGGAGCGUAGGCCGGAGAUUAAGCGUGUUGUGAAAUGUAGACGCUCAACGUCUGCACUGCAGCGCGAACUGGUUUCCUUGAGUACGCACAAAGUGGGCGGAAUUCGUGGUGUAGCGGUGAAAUGCUUAGAUAUCACGAAGAACUCCGAUUGCGAAGGCAGCUCACUGGAGCGCAACUGACGCUGAAGCUCGAAAGUGCGGGUAUCGAACAGGAUUAGAUACCCUGGUAGUCCGCACGGUAAACGAUGGAUGCCCGCUGUUGGUCUGAAUAGGUCAGCGGCCAAGCGAAAGCAUUAAGCAUCCCACCUGGGG